GAAGGGUGUGUUUAUCAUCAUAGGGGUGGCAUUAUGAGACCUCCCUCCACAUGUGCAGAUUUUCUUUCUUUGUUUAAUUUCACGUGUUGUAAUAAGGGCUUCUAGAAAGCCACACAUUUAGCACAUGUAUGCUGACAUGGCUNUAGGCCUUUUCCUUGCUUGACCGAGAGGUUGAUCUAUAAAACCUCCUUGGCAUAGCUUGUAUCAUUUACUUUUGGAUGAUAGUAAGAAAUCUCUGCUAAAAUGCAUUGCCAACUUCUCCUUUCCAAGAGUCACUCUAUGCUUUGUUUCCUC
Molecule: long non-coding RNA, 294 nt
Filed under: Vigna radiata
Lineage: Eukaryota; Viridiplantae; Streptophyta; Magnoliopsida; Fabales; Fabaceae
Description: long non-coding RNA (VRAD_LNC014250)
Source: RNAcentral